GGAGCUUUACUCAAGUUGGAUGAAGAGAUCAGUCCUGAAAACUGACAGGCCGCUAACAACGGCGCGUGGGUUCGAAUCCCACAGGCUCCG
Molecule: transfer RNA, 90 nt
Filed under: Bacteriophage sp.
Also listed under: 1 other name
Description: tRNA-Ser
Rfam family: tRNA
About the family: Transfer RNA (tRNA) molecules are approximately 80 nucleotides in length. Their secondary structure includes four short double-helical elements and three loops (D, anti-codon, and T loops). Further hydrogen bonds mediate the characteristic L-shaped molecular structure. tRNAs have two regions of fundamental functional importance: the anti-codon, which is responsible for specific mRNA codon recognition, and the 3' end, to which the tRNAs corresponding amino acid is attached (by aminoacyl-tRNA synthetases). tRNAs cope with the degeneracy of the genetic code in two manners: having more than one tRNA (with a specific anti-codon) for a particular amino acid; and 'wobble' base-pairing, i.e. permitting non-standard base-pairing at the 3rd anti-codon position.
Source: RNAcentral